UGAAGAGAGAAAAGCCUAGAAUGAGCAUUGAUCUGAAGCUAUUCACGUUACAGAACUCGAGAUAUUGAAGCCCAGCUGAAGCUGCAAUAAGUAAUCUCUUAACUAUUUGAAAAAUCCUAAAAAGUAUUACUAUCCGAAAAAUCUUAAAUAGUAUUGUGUUGAUUUUCAGCAAUAUUUUGUGUCCUAAUUGAUCAAGUUGAGAUUGUUAGGAAAUUUAAUAUCACUUUCACUAGUUUGUCUUCUUUUGUAAAAUCAGUUAGACUGUCAUAGUAAACAUUAGUUUGCAACUUUUUAAUUAAUGAAAACACAAAAUUCCACCAUAUCUUUGAUACAAAAAUUAUAAUUAGCCGAGGCGAGACAUACCCACGUAGGGGAAGAGGAAAGUAUGAAGAGCUCCCACAAUUGGCAAUGGUAUUAAAGAGAGAAAAGCCCCAACUUUUCCUGUGAGCAAACUUAAACAAUACUAAUACUCUAUUUGCAACGUUAUUUGAGCAGAAAU
RNAcentral lists this unclassified non-coding RNA (499 nucleotides) under Hevea brasiliensis (rubber tree). The record is from RNAcentral. Lineage: Eukaryota; Viridiplantae; Streptophyta; Magnoliopsida; Malpighiales; Euphorbiaceae.